This is an RNA transcript of Oryza brachyantha (malo sina), 2201 nucleotides long. It is a transcript of the gene named lysine-specific demethylase JMJ30-like, with no coding region annotated. The record is from RefSeq and is a predicted model, not a curated record. NCBI's taxonomy places the organism in Eukaryota, Viridiplantae, Streptophyta, Magnoliopsida, Poales, Poaceae. The transcript has 8 exons.
CCGGAGCAACGAGGACCAGAAAUAUCUCCUUCGCUUUUGCGCUUUUCUCCUUCUCUUUCCUCGCGCCGCCUAGCCGCUGCAGCGACCCGAUGGCCGGCGGCGAGCCGCCGGAGGCGGAGGCGGGGGCGGGGCGGCGGGCGGCGCUGCUGCGGGAGAUUACGGAGGAGGGCGGGUUCGCGUUCGUGGCGUCGGCGGAGAAGGCGGCGGGCGGGGACCUGCGGGCGGCGGAGGCGGCGCGGGAGAUGGCGUGGGAGCAGCUCCACUCGGGCCCCUGGAGCGAGGUGGGCGCCGCGUGGAGGGACGCCUACGCGCUCGCCUGCCUCCACGUCGCGCGCCUGCGGCUGGAGGUGGCCGCCGACCGCCGCGCCGCGCUGCGCGCGCUCGACAUGGGGCUCAUCAUGGGGGGCAACCUCCUCCGCGCCGACCUGGAGGCCGCGAUAGCGCGCAUCGCCGCGGAAGCGGGCGACGGCGGGGACGCGGAGGCCGUCGAUGAGGAAGGCCGGAGGUGGAGGGAGGGGCUCGACAGGAAUCGAGACAUCGCCGAUGCACUGAACAUUCUUCCGCUGAAGUCUUUAUCUUAUAAGAAGGUUGAGAGGCGAUCAUGCAUUUCUUUGGAGGAGUUUAUAUGUGAUUACUUUUUGCGGGAAUCCCCUGUUAUAAUCAGUGGCAGCAUUGAUCAUUGGCCUGCUAGGACAAAGUGGAAGGACAUCCAAUACCUGAAGAAAAUAGCUGGAGAUCGAACUGUUCCUGUUGAAGUUGGAAAAAAUUAUGUGUGCAGUGAGUGGAAGCAGGAACUAAUCACUUUUUCGCAGUUCCUUGAGAGGAUGUGGUCAACUGGCUGUCAUUCCAAUUUGACAUAUCUAGCUCAGCAUCCCUUGUUUGAACAGAUAAAAGAGCUUCAUGAAGAUAUAAUGGUUCCUGACUACUGUUAUGCUGGUGGAGGAGAGCUUCAAUCACUUAAUGCGUGGUUCGGUCCACAUGGGACUGUGACACCAUUGCACCAUGAUCCACAUCACAACAUUUUAGCUCAGGUAUUGGGAAGAAAGUAUAUUAGACUAUAUCCUGCUUCCAUAUCUGAGGACUUGUACCCACACACAGAAACUAUGCUAAGUAACACCAGUCAGGUAGAUCUUGACCACAUUGAUCUGAAGGAGUUCCCAAAGGUAGAAAAUCUUGAUUUCAUGGACUGUAUAUUGGAGGAGGGUGACCUGCUCUACAUUCCACCAAAAUGGUGGCAUUACGUGAAAUCUCUUUCUAUUAGUUUCUCCGUUAGCUUUUGGUGGCGUGCAGCUGUUCUACCUUCAAAGGGUUCAUAGCGUCGCCGAUUCUGAUCUUUGUACACCAGAACCAGACCACUGAAUCUUUGAAAUCCUGACAGAAGCCUUCAAUUCAACAUCCACUAUUGCAUGGAUGUGGCCAUACUAUUGCAGAUGUACAUUGUUACUCCCCCUGUUAUGAUUAAACACGUAGUUGCUACUAUACCAAAUGUAACAAUGUCAUUUGCCUUCUGAUGGGUCCCAUUUUCAAAAAAAUAUCAGUAAGGUUAUGAUGGGAUCCCAUUUUCACAACAAUUAUCAGUAAGGUUAUUUUCAGUGUUUCUCCACAUUAGGCGAUCAGUGCUGUUUUAGAUAUAGAAGAUGAUCACAUCCCUGUCCUCUGCAUCUUGUAUAAACAGUCAAUACCAUCGAUGCUACGCCACCAACCUGCUUCCAAGAACGACACUGACUGAGCAUCCAUUCUCUUGAGACGCACAAAUGGAGUACUACAGUUGCAAAGAAAGAGAGAAAGAGAACACGAAAAAGAAAACAAUAGGGCCCUUCCAUGGAGUACUACAGCUAGCCACAAAGCCAUGCCCCAGAUGCCAUGCCUUAACCACAGUGAAGCAGCAUGACUGUCAAGACACAGCCAUCAGCAUUAACUCUUUUGGCACCUUGUCUUUCGGCACCAUCCUGGUAUCUCUCUCCCUGAACCACAUUUUUUUCUCUCUGGACCAGCAGGCGAUGAGGCGAAAGCUAGGGCUAGGCGCCGGAAAAGAAGCUGCACCAAGCCACCAAACAGCACACUACUCUUUCUUUCACUCUUUGCGCUGUUGUGUUUAUGCCCACCGAGGCAGGCGGCGGUGGCGCCACCUCCGCUGAUCCGACGCCGUUGUCCGCGUCUAAGAAUGCAGUAAUGUCUGUCUCUGUCUAACGCAUUGCAAG